CCAAAUCCUUGGUUUUCUUCUAGACCAUUUAGGAACAUCCCUAACAUGUCUGAUUUUCUGGUUGACCGAAAUUGAGCUUUUUCCUUUUUUUUUUUCUAACAAACAGGGUUCCAAUAUCAGUAUUGAGCACUGUGUGCUGUAAGCCUCAUUGUGACUUUGGCUUGUGUCAGUGAGGUUUUAGCAGCUCCUCCCCUGCUGCCUGCUGUUUCACUUUCUUUGGUUUUAGUUUUGAUUUUAGUUAUCUGCUGUCAACUUUGGUCUGGAUAAUAUUAAAUGGAAAAUUCCAGAAAUAAUUUAUACAUUUUAAAUGGCACCCCUUUCUGACUAGCGUGAUGGAAUCUUGAGCCGUCCAGCCCAGGACAUGAAUCAUCCCUGUGUCCAGCAUCUCCAGCUGUCUACGCUCCCAGCCCGUGAGUCACUGAGGAGCCAUCUCCACGGCACCUGGAUUACUUGGAGCCAAAGAAGAAGCUAGAGUCCGCAGAGACACAGAAGGUGAUUAUGGGAGGGGAUGGCACCAAGGACAUAGGUGGCAGAUGCAACCUUGGAAACGAUGAGGCUCACCUUCUUCUAUAAGGUUGCAAAAAAGCAACGAAAACAUGCACAUUUACAGCAAAUUAGAGAACUGGGCAGGAGAAAAGUUGAAAGGAGUUGUCAGCUGACCUAAGUGAUCUGUCCAGAAAGGGUCACGGUGGGGGGUUUGGAGGUCAGAGGAGAAAGAACAAUAAUUUCAAUGAAAAAAAUCUAUUUUCUAAUUUGAGAAAUUAGAUAGAAAGAUAACUGAAAAUAUGUUGAAAGUGACCUUGCAUCAUUUAGGAACUGUUGGGUUUUUGUACUCAUCUUUAGUAAUUUUAUCCUGAAUACGCACAUGAGGUGUUUGGGAUCAGAGGCUGAUUCCUCAUCGAACACCUCAGUAUAAGUAGCACAUGUCAGCCUCACUUUGCCCUCAUCUCUACCCCAGGCCAACGUGCCGAGCACCAAGCCAGUUGUCCUGUAGGAGUAGUCAGACACCUUAUAGGUGAAGGCUGAAGAAAAGUGACUUUAUCAAGGGGAAGGAGGGAGCUCGCUACCACCCCAGUGAAAAGGUCUCUUGAUGGGGUCCACAGACUACAAGUGAAAAACCUCUACCCUCUAGAGAAUGAGGAAGACAUACAUAUGAAGAACUAUGGCUAAUAAUUUUCCAAAAUUGAAAAAGAACAUGAGUUUCUGAAACUGAAGAACUGAAGAAGUUCACUGAUACUCAAGUAUAAACUAACACAUACCAGACACCGUGGUGAAACUGCAGAUGGCCAACAUUAACAAUAAAAUCUUAAAAGAAUUCAGAAUGAAAAUCACAUGAUCUCUAAAGAAUCAAAAGUGCACUAAUGAGUAAUAUAUUUUAAAAUACUCGUGUAAAAUUAUUGUCAGCCUAGAUAGAAAUCUGGCUCAGCCUAACCAGCACUUGACUAUAAAGGAAACUGGACAUUUCAGACACAGGGAACAAAUGUACAAUCUAUAGAUCUUCACCAAAAAAUGUACUUAUGGAAAUUAAAUAAGAAGAAAAGAAUGUUUCCAAGAAGAAGCAGUGGACAUUACAAAAUGUGCUGGUAAAGCUAAAUAGAUAUGGCCUGAAAAAAUAAAGCAGGGAGAUGAAUAAAAGCAAUGCUGAAAUAAAACCACAAUGAAAGGGAAGUUUGGAUGGAAGUGACUAAGUUUUUAAAAAUAUUAUUUGGGAAGAAGGUGGUAUUGAUGUAGACUUGGUUGACAAGUAUUAAUUUGUGUCUGUGCAUAUAAACAAAAGACAAUCAUUGAAAGAAUAAAAAUAGAACUAUUGGGGGAAAUAUGGGUGGAGAGGAGGAAAAGUUUAUUAAUCCAACAAAAAAAGAAAAAGGAGAAAAAAUGAAAAGAAAAAGCAUGGUAAAUAAAACAAAAUGAUAGAAAUGUGGCAAAUAAACCAGUUACCAUAAUAAAUAUAAAUGGGCUAAAUUAACCCAUUAAAAGAAAAUCUCAAACCAAAAAAUUUGAAACAUAGAGAAACAACUGAAACAUAAUGCUGCAAACAUAUUGAAAAUAAAACACUUGGAAAAUGUAAAUCAGUGCAAAAGAAAGUAGGACCAGGUAUAGCAAUUGUAAUACCAGACAAAAUAAGGGCAAAAGGGUAACAUUACUUAUGAUUAAAAGGAAGAAUUCAGGCCCGGCGCGGUGGCUCACGCCUGUAAUCCCAGCACUUUGGGAGGCCGAGGCGGGCAGAUCAUGAGGUCAGGAGAUCGAGACCACCCUGGCUAAUAGGGUGAAACCCCGUCUCUACUAAAAAUACAAAAAAUUACCCGGGUGUGGUGGCGGGCGCCUGUAGUCCCAGCUACUUGGGAGGCUGAGGCAGGAGAAUGGCGUGAACCCAGGAGGCGGAGCUUGCAGUGAGCCGAGAUCGUGUCACUGCACUCCAGCCUGGGCAACAGAGCAAGACUCCGUCUAAAAAAAAAAAAAAAAAAAAAAAAAAAGAGAAAAACAAGGCAAAAAUACUAAGUAUAUAGAAGAUGUUAACAAUGUAAUUUGCAAGAUUGACCUAGUAGCCGCUUACAUACAAACCUUGCAUUAAAGCAAAAGAUAACAUGCUUUUAGCAUAAACAUUUAUGAAUAAUUAUGAAUAAUUAUAUGCUCAUAAUGAGUAACAAGGAAAAAUUUCUAGCAAGGAAACAACCAAAAUGGACCUGAAGAUGUACAAAACUUGAAAAGAGAAACUUCAUUAAAUACAUUGAAGUGGAAGUGUAAAUAAUCCAACUUCCCCAAAAUGUACUGGCUCUUUCAUUUCAUAUGUGAGUUUACACCAAACCUUUGAUUGCUCUUACACACACUGUUUGAAAGAAAAAGGAGAGGUGGGUACUUAGACCAAAAUGGAACUUUCUUAAUUUGAUAAUAGGUAUUAAUAUUUACCAAAAACCUAUAGCAGACAUAAUUUCAUUUAAAAAAUUUAGAAGCAUUUCUCAAAGUCAGGAAGUAAACACAGAUGUCCAUCGUUACUCUUUCUAGCCAACAUUUGUCCCAGCCAAAGUAACAAUACAGGGAUCUGAGAAGUAAGAAGUAUAAUAAUAAAAAGGAUGACUCUUUUUUCGGCACUAUCAUCAUCUUAAUGGAAAAAUCAGUUGAGUUCUACAAUCAAAAUAUUAAAACUAAGCUGGGUAUGGUGGUGUGCAUCUGUAGUUCCAGCUACUUGGGAGGCUGAGGCAGAAGGAUCAUUUGAGGCAGAAGGAUCAUUUGAGCCCAGGAGUUCAAGGCCAGCCUGGACAAUAUAACAAGACCCCAUCUUCCUCUUUCUCUCUCUCUCUCUCUCGGCAUAUGUAUGUAUUUUUAUAUACAUAUAUAUGUAAACUAAUAACAAUGAUCAGUAAAGUUGCUGGCUUAAAAACUAUCAUGAAAAAAUCAAUAAUAAUCACUUUGAAAAUUUAACAGAAAAAAGAACCCAUUCUCAAUAGAAACAAAAACUAUAAACACCCUGGUAAUGAAUUCUAAUAAUUAUGGGCCAAACCUAAAUGGAGAAUAUCAUAAAAUAUUAAAGGACAUAUAAAAGGCUGUGUGAAUAGAGAGAUAUACCAUAUUUAUGGACAAGAGACUUCACGAUUAUAAAGGCAUGAAUUCAGUGUAAUUCCAAUAAAAAAAAACCAGGAGAGUUUUUCAAAAAACCUGAAAAAUUGAUUUUAAAAUUUACAUGAAAAACAGUCCAGGCAUGGUAGUUCACACCUGCAAUCCCAGCACUCUGGGAGGCCAACGUGAGUGAAUCACUUGAGGUCAGGAGUUUGAAACCAGCCUGGCCAACAUGAUGAAACCGCGUCUCUACAAAAAUACAAAAAUUAGCUGGACAUGGUGGCAUGCACCUGCAAUUCCAGCUACUCAGGGCGCUAAGGUGGGAGAAUCACUUAAACCCAGGAGGUGGAGGCUGCAGUGAGCUGAGAUCAUGCCAUUGCACUCCAGCCUGGAUGACAGAGUGAGACUCUGUCUCAAAAAAAAAAAUUACAUGAAAAAUAAAUGUCUAAAAACAGCCAAUACAACUCUGAAGAAGACAUGGUGGGGACACUUGCCCUAGCAGGUACCAGAUGCAUUGUACAGCUAUUAGGGAGAUACUGGUUUAAGAAGAAAAAAGCCAGAACAACAGACGAGAAUAGGGCACCCAUUAAAAAUAGCUUUAUAUAUGACAAAAAUAGCAUUACGGAUAAAGAAGGAAUGGACUGACUUUUGAGACAACUGGGUAUUCCCACUCAGAAAGCAAAAGAAAAUUAUUUGCCUACUUCACAUCCACAUGAAAAAUAACUUCUUGUCUGAUUAAAGAACUGAAUACAAAAACAAAAAUGUUUUUGAAAGAACUCAUUCCCUCCUUAGUGCCCAAGCAGUGGUUUCUAAAACACCCAAGUUCCUGAAAGUUUAUUUUCAUAGAAUACUACAAGGAUAAAUUAACUUUCAUACUGGCCAAAUACUCUCCAGAGAAAGAUCAGUGUCUAUAAAUUCAUGAUUAACCAGUGAAGCAUUCACGAUCUUCAGCAAUCCACUUCUUGUUAGACUUGACCACA
This 4535-nucleotide long non-coding RNA is filed under the name Homo sapiens (human). Its description in RNAcentral is "HSALNT0198522". The record is from RNAcentral. Lineage: Eukaryota; Metazoa; Chordata; Mammalia; Primates; Hominidae.